AAAGGACGCUGUGGCAGGAGGUGCAGAUGAGGAAGGACCAGCAGCAUGGACAGGACAGCUGUUAAGGUCACUGAUGGAGAGAGACAGGUUGAUGAUGACUCUUGCAGUCAUAUUGAUGAGGAGGAGGAAGGAAAGCAGAACAAGAGGAGGAGGAGAAUGGAACCAGUACAAAAACAGUGAUGGCUGUACAAUCAGUAAGCAGAGGCAGGGUCCAGCACAGGGGAAGUGGAGCCAGGGAGAGUUGAAAGUGAGUACGUACACACACAAUCUCUAUUUUAUAGGACUGUAUUGUAGUUUUUGAUUAUCUGAGUGGGUAUGUGUGAGUAAUUGUAACAAUUUUAUCACUCCAACUGACUGUACACAUGACAUGCUGGU
Misgurnus anguillicaudatus (oriental weatherfish) is the source of this 375-nucleotide non-coding RNA. NCBI's taxonomy places the organism in Eukaryota, Metazoa, Chordata, Actinopteri, Cypriniformes, Cobitidae. The record is from RefSeq and is a predicted model, not a curated record.